This 253-nucleotide ribosomal RNA is filed under the name uncultured bacterium. RNAcentral describes it as "partial 16S ribosomal RNA". It matches the Rfam family "Bacterial small subunit ribosomal RNA", at positions 524 to 776 of the family's 1533-position model. The record is from RNAcentral.
UACAUGUGGGGCAAGCGUUGUUCGGAAUUACUGGGCAUAAAGGGUGCGUAGGCGGUUUGUUAAGUCACUGGUGAAAGUUUUCGGCCCAACCGGAAAAUUGCCUGUGAUACUGGCGAACUCGAGUGCGUGAGGGGUAGGGGGAACGAGCAGUGUAGCGGUGAAAUGCGUAGAUAUCCGGAGGAACACCGGUGGCGAAGGCGGCUUCCUGGACCGAUACUGACGCUGAGGCGCGAAAGCUAGGGGAGCGAACAGG